UACGUAGGGUGCGAGCGUUAAUCGGAAUUACUGGGCGUAAAGCGUGCGCAGGCGGUUUUUCAAGUCUGAUGUGAAAUCCCCGGGCUUAACCUGGGAACUGCGUUUGAAACUUCAAGACUAGAAUAUGUCAGAGGGGGGUAGAAUUCCACGUGUAGCAGUGAAAUGCGUAGAGAUGUGGAGGAAUACCGAUGGCGAAGGCAGCCCCCUGGGAUAAUAUUGACGCUCAUGCACGAAAGCGUGGGGAGCAAACAGG
Molecule: ribosomal RNA, 253 nt
Filed under: uncultured bacterium
Lineage: Bacteria
Description: partial 16S ribosomal RNA
Rfam family: Bacterial small subunit ribosomal RNA
Source: RNAcentral